AUUGGCCUGGGGCAAAGGGAAUGCAUAGGUACACAGUCCUGUAAAGGCAGCUGCUGCCCUCUUGACUAUCCCUGAGAUGUAUGAAUCUGGAAAGUCUACUUCUUUACAUAACAUACUGAAAUUGUCAUCUCAACAAUAACAAUUAUCAAUAUGACCCUUCGGAUUCCUGAUUUUCUCCAGAGUCAAAAUGGCAAUGAGGCAAAUGUUUUGAAAAGACUCAAGACAUCGAGGCAACCUUAA
Molecule: long non-coding RNA, 240 nt
Filed under: Fukomys damarensis (Damara mole-rat)
Lineage: Eukaryota; Metazoa; Chordata; Mammalia; Rodentia; Bathyergidae
Description: lncRNA (ENSFDAG00000022839.1)
Source: RNAcentral